This 465-nucleotide ribosomal RNA is filed under the name Vreelandella stevensii. RNAcentral describes it as "partial 16S ribosomal RNA". It matches the Rfam family "Bacterial small subunit ribosomal RNA", at positions 338 to 795 of the family's 1533-position model. The record is from RNAcentral. Lineage: Bacteria; Pseudomonadati; Pseudomonadota; Gammaproteobacteria; Oceanospirillales; Halomonadaceae.
CCUACGGGCGGCAGCAGUGGGGAAUAUUGGACAAUGGGGGCAACCCUGAUCCAGCCAUGCCGCGUGUGUGAAGAAGGCCCUCGGGUUGUAAAACACUUUCAGUGAGGAAGAACGCCUGGUGGUUAAUACCCAUCAGGAAAGACAUCACUCACAGAAGAAGCACCGGCUAACUCCGUGCCAGCAGCCGCGGUAAUACGGAGGGUGCGAGCGUUAAUCGGAAUUACUGGGCGUAAAGCGCGCGUAGGUGGCUUGAUAAGCCGGUUGUGAAAGCCCCGGGCUCAACCUGGGAACGGCAUCCGGAACUGUCAAGCUAGAGUGCAGGAGAGGAAGGUAGAAUUCCCGGUGUAGCGGUGAAAUGCGUAGAGAUCGGGAGGAAUACCAGUGGCGAAGGCGGCCUUCUGGACUGACACUGACACUGAGGUGCGAAAGCGUGGGUAGCAAACAGGAUUAGAUACCCUGGUAGUC